RNAcentral lists this ribosomal RNA (801 nucleotides) under Acrocalymma sp. RNAcentral describes it as "partial large subunit ribosomal RNA". It matches the Rfam family "Eukaryotic large subunit ribosomal RNA", at positions 86 to 909 of the family's 3401-position model. Lineage: Eukaryota; Fungi; Ascomycota; Dothideomycetes; Pleosporales; Acrocalymmaceae. The record is from RNAcentral.
ACGGCGAGUGAAGCGGCAACAGCUCAAAUUUGAAAUCUGAUCUCUUCGAGGUCCGAGUUGUAAUUUGCAGAGGGCGCUUUGGUGUUGGCUGCGGUCUAAGUUCCUUGGAACAGGACGUCAUAGAGGGUGAGAAUCCCGUCUGUGGUCGCAUGUCUUCACCGUGUAAAGCCCCUUCGACGAGUCGAGUUGUUUGGGAAUGCAGCUCUAAAUGGGAGGUAAAUUUCUUCUAAAGCUAAAUACUGGCCAGAGACCGAUAGCGCACAAGUAGAGUGAUCGAAAGAUGAAAAGCACUUUGGAAAGAGAGUCAAAAAGCACGUGAAAUUGUUGAAAGGGAAGCGCUUGCAGCCAGACUUGCUUGCAGUUGCUCAUCCGGGCGUUCGCCCGGUGCACUCUUCUGUAGGCAGGCCAGCAUCAGUUUGGGCGGUUGGAUAAAGGCCUCUGUCAUGUAUCUUCUCCGGAAGACCUUAUAGGGGAGGCGUAAUGCAACCAGCCUGGACUGAGGUCCGCGCAUCUGCUAGGAUGCUGGCGUAAUGGCUGUAAGCGGCCCGUCUUGAAACACGGACCAAGGAGUCUAACAUCUAUGCGAGUGUUUGGGUGUCAAGCCCGAGCGCGUAAUGAAAGUGAACGGAGGUGGGAACCCUCGGGUGCACCAUCGACCGAUCCUGAUGUCUUCGGAUGGAUUUGAGUAAGAGCAUAGCUGUUGGGACCCGAAAGAUGGUGAACUAUGCUUGAAUAGGGUGAAGCCAGAGGAAACUCUGGUGGAGGCUCGCAGCGGUUCUGACGUGCAAAUCGAUCGUCAAA